RNAcentral lists this ribosomal RNA (402 nucleotides) under uncultured bacterium. Its description in RNAcentral is "bacterial SSU rRNA". It matches the Rfam family "Bacterial small subunit ribosomal RNA", at positions 355 to 774 of the family's 1533-position model. The record is from RNAcentral.
UGGGGAAUCUUGCACAAUGGGGGCAACCCUGAUGCAGCGACGCCGCGUGAGCGAUGAAGCCCUUCGGGGCGUAAAGCUCUUUCGACCGGAACGAUAAUGACGGUACCGGGAGAAGAAGCUGCAGCUAACUACGUGCCAGCAGCCGCGGUAAUACGUAGGCAGCAAGCGUUGUUCGGAGUUACUGGGCGUAAAGAGUGCGUAGGCGGUUUUCUAAGUUCGGUGUGAAAUCUCCCGGCUUAACUGGGAGGGUGCGCCGAAGACUGGGAAGCGGGAGUGUGGGAAAGGCAGGCGGAAUUCCUGGUGUAGCGGUGAAAUGCGUAGAUAUCAGGAGGAACACCGGCGGUGUAGACGGCUUGCUAGACCAUAACUGACGCUGAGGCACGAAAGCGUGGGUAGCAAACA